AACCUCCGCAAUGUGAGAAAUCGCGACGGGGGGAUCCCAAGUGCCAUUCUUAACGGGAUGGCUUUUCAUUAGUGUAAAGAGCUUUUGGAAUAAGGGCUGGGCAAGACCGGUGCCAGCCGCCGCGGUAACACCGGCAGCUCUAGUGGUAGCAGUUUUUAUUGGGCCUAAAGCGUCCGUAGCCGGUUUAAUAAGUCUCUGGUGAAAUCCUGUAGCUUAACUGUGGGAAUUGCUGGAGAUACUAUUAGACUUGAGACCGGGAGAGGUUAGAGGUACUCCCAGGGUAGAGGUGAAAUUCUGUAAUCCUGGGAGGACCGCCUGUUGCGAAGGCGUCUAACUGGAACGGUUCUGACGGUGAGGGACGAAAGUUAGGGGCGCGAAACCGGAUUAGAUACCCGGGUAGUCCUAACCGUAAACGAUGCGGACUUGGUGUUGGGGUGGCUUUGAGCUGCUCCAGUGCCGAAGGGAAGCUGUUAAGUCCGCCGCCUGGGAAGUACGGUCGCAAGACUGAAACUUAAAGGAAUU
RNAcentral lists this ribosomal RNA (522 nucleotides) under uncultured bacterium. Its description in RNAcentral is "bacterial SSU rRNA". It matches the Rfam family "Archaeal small subunit ribosomal RNA", at positions 345 to 866 of the family's 1478-position model. The record is from RNAcentral.